GUUGGUGUCGGAUCCCGCACCAGAAGUCCGAGACCAACCAAAGAUUGCCACGUAGUCAAGAUAAAGGCCCAUAAAAGAUAAAGCCCGUCGAAUCCAUGAGCCAAGGGGAUAGUCGAAGUGGUUGUCACCACUUCGAGAAUCCGAAGUGAUUGUACUGUGACAUGAGUUCGGUGUAGAAGACAUGGGUAAGUCGGUUCAAGGACACUUGGGCCAAAAAGGCGAGGCCCAUGAAGAUCAGAGUCAACUCAAAUUCAAACGUUGAGCAUUAAAGUCGAAGAAUCAAAACGGACACAUUUAAGAGGGAAUAAUUGUACUUAAUUAUUCAUUUUAAUGUCAAUUCUCUAUGUAUAAAUAUGAAGGCCAAUGGCCAUGUAAAGGGGGAUCUUC
This 387-nucleotide long non-coding RNA is filed under the name Arabidopsis lyrata. RNAcentral's name for it is "long non-coding RNA (ALYR_LNC002838)". Lineage: Eukaryota; Viridiplantae; Streptophyta; Magnoliopsida; Brassicales; Brassicaceae. The record is from RNAcentral.